UGCAGUGUCUUAGUGGUUAAGGCUUUGAAUUACAGAGCAGAAGGUCUUGUGUUCAAAUCCCAGCACUGCCA
Non-coding RNA from Pangasianodon gigas (Mekong giant catfish), 71 nucleotides. The record is from the annotation of a GenBank genome assembly. Lineage: Eukaryota; Metazoa; Chordata; Actinopteri; Siluriformes; Pangasiidae.